Molecule: ribosomal RNA, 404 nt
Filed under: Verrucomicrobiota bacterium
Lineage: Bacteria; Pseudomonadati; Verrucomicrobiota
Description: Verrucomicrobia bacterium partial 16S ribosomal RNA
Rfam family: Bacterial small subunit ribosomal RNA
Source: RNAcentral
UGGGGAAUAUUACACAAUGGGGGAAACCCUGAUGCAGCGACGCCGCGUGAGCGAUGAAGGCUUUCGAGUCGUAAAGCUCUGUCCUAUGGGAAGAUAAUGACGGUACCAUAGAAGAAAGCCCCGGCUAAUUACGUGCCAGCAGCCGCGGUAAUACGUAAGGGGCGAGCGUUGUCCGGAAUUAUUGGGCGUAAAGAGUGCGUAGGCGGCAAAUUAAGUCAGAUGUGAAAACUAAGGGCUCAACCCAUAGAUUGCAUCUGAAACUGAUAUGCUUGAGUCAAGGAGAGGAAAGUGGAAUUCCUAGUGUAGCGGUGGAAUGCGUAGAUAUUAGGAGGAGUACCGGUGGCGGAGGCGACUUUCUGGACUUGAACUGACGCUGAGGCACGAAAGCGUGGGGAGCAAACAGG